Molecule: long non-coding RNA, 1678 nt
Filed under: Felis catus (domestic cat)
Lineage: Eukaryota; Metazoa; Chordata; Mammalia; Carnivora; Felidae
Description: lncRNA (ENSFCAG00000050001.1)
Source: RNAcentral
AUGGCCCCGGUCAGCCGCCGGCCCCAGGCAAGGCCUGCAGAUGGUGCUGUGGGCGGCCGGAGGCCACACACCCCACCCCGGAGCGGUGCUCUGAGGUGUCACCGGGAUGGAGACUGGCCUCGGCCUGCACUCCCCCCAUCGCCCUGGGGGCAACGCCUCUCCACGAUGAGCCUGAUCCUCCCUCCUGCGACUGAAAACCCGGAACGCAGCACGACGGACCAGCCACGGGGAGCAUGGAGAGAGGAGGACAGGCUGCUUCGGGACUUUGGCCCCGGAGGAGGGGUCGGCAGUGGCGUCCCCGGAUUUCCUAGGGCCUCCCGAACAUCCCGACAGAGCACUAGAGGAGCCUGGGAGCCAGAACCAUCAGCGCACGUCAGGCAAAACGAUGCUCCAAGGAGACAUUGCUCCCCCCAGAACGAGGUACCAGGAAAAGUGUGGGUGAACAGAACAGAAAACCUUUAUGACGAUACCGUCCUCCAGCCAGCCGAGCUCUGGGGGGCGGGGAGGGGGGCAGCUGCCACUCCCCUGCGGUUUCUGGGGCGCCGAGGGGGAUCCCCACCCCCUCAUGCCACCACGGAGGACACCCUCCACCCCCACCCGGUGGCAUCGGCACAGCCUAUAGACAGUAGGCUCAGUAACAAAGAGCCCCAAACUGGUGGCUUAAAACAACACAAAUGAAUUCUCUUGCCUUCUGGAGCCAGAAGUCCAAAAUCAAGGUGUGGGAAGGGCUGUACUCCCUCGGGAGGGUCCUUCCUGCCUCUUCCAGGUCCUGGGAGCUCCCCACGUCCCUGGGCUGAUGGCCGCCUCCCUCCGGCCUCUGCCUCUGUCUUUACAUGACCAUUUCCCUGUGUGUGUGUGUGUGUGUGUGUGUGUGUGUGUGUGAAUCCACAUCUGUCUUCUUAUAAGGACACUAGUCAUUCCGGGUCGGGCCACCCGGAUUCACACACACACACACACACACACACACACACCUCAACCCAGAGCAGGUGCUUUGGACCUGAGACACAGUAGCCCAAGAACCAGCUGGGCAUCAUUCUGACAAGCAGGGACACAGGCCCACUCUGCCCACACAGGGCCCUCCGACCAUCAGAACCUGGGUCCUCAUCUAGGAAACACAGGUGAGCACCAGCUGUGCGUGGGACUCGGGCUCACAUGUGUGGGACACGAGGGAGGGAAGGGACGUGGUGCAGGCCGUGCCGUGUGGGUGUCCUGGGAUUCCGGGCUGAAACCCUUGUUUUUGUGAGCUGGUGGGGGACAGAGCCGCCCAGCUGGAGUGUGAAUGGGGCGGGGGAUUUGUAGGAUCACGGUGCUCUUCCUGAAGCUCUUUGGUGGUGGGGGGGAGGGUUGAGGGAUCCCAGAUGGGGCACAGAGCUCACGGACGCCGCGCAAAGUGGUUUUCAAAGGGCCAGGGCUGUGGCUCCCGGAGUCAUCUGGCCCGGAGUAAUGUAAACUGCCUUCCCUUCUAGACCUACGGUUUAUUUGUACAGUUUGGGCCGUUUCUGUAAAUGUUUGACCCGUUUGGAAAUCCAAUCCAAAGGGAAAGCAAAUCGGGGCUUUUAUUUUGUGCGGUGGUGUUCUCAUCAGCGGUGCCGACAUUUAACCUGUUGCGACGUAUCAAAUGCUGCGUUCGGCCAGCGAGGGGAGGAGAGGGCCUGUUCUGUCCUGCUCUGUUUUGUCU